AGGCCGCGCGGCGUCGGGAGCGGAAGGCCGAGGCCGGCGGCCGAAGAGCCCCCUGAGGCAGGCGCACCCCGUCAGCUCCGCCGGGUCGCGGGGAGCAGGUCGCGGGUCGCGGGUCCCUCUGCCGCGCGGGGGUCACGUCUUGCCCGUAACAAGUGUUUGCACACAGGCUCAGAGAAAGUUCAGAGCGCACAUCACAAGUACCUCUGAUACAGGUGAUCGCUACACUGAAUUUUGUGUUUAUCGAAUCCUUUUAAGAAUAGCGUCAUCACAACAAAACAUGUUACUUAGAUUUGGUUGCUCCUGAGUUUUACAAAAACGCUCGUAGGUGCCCAGCUGAGGUGGAAUGGACAUUCCUUUGUGCGGGGAAGGCUCAUGCAGAGGCCUCUCCUGACCUGUACGUGUGGGGGCAAAGCCAUUCCGAAGCAAGAGAACCACUGCUUACUAACCACAGAUGUCUGGGAAUGCUCCAGCAGCAGCGAGCAGCUACAAACCUCACCUAUGAUCUUUAUUGAAAUUAAAUUUUUGUGGUCUCUUCUCACACAAUCCUUUUCCCAAAACCAAUUUACAUAAUUUGGUAUAAUUUGAAAUGAUUGACAUGGGUUGCUAAUUGUUGGGGUAGAAACUAGACCCUCACAGUAGCUAAGUCUCGAAGGCAAAGGUUAGAAUCCAGCAACCGGUAGUGUGGGUCGAAUUGAUAUUAGUUUAAUAAUCUGUAAACUAUGCAAGAAAAUGUAAUUGUCCUACAUUACAAGGGUAGUCCUUCCACUGCACAGUUUAUUCAAAUGUAUAAUCUAAAUAAUUGAGUACCUCUGCCUACAAUAGAGCAUUUCCUCAUAUGCAAACACCAUUUAAUAGACAGUUAAAUCCAAACAGAUGGAUAAAAGAUGCCAGAACAUAAUUGGUUUGCUUUUGAUUAUUUCAUUGAUACCAAUUUACUUAAAGAGCAAGUCUGGACAUGGUAGGAUUUAUUGUCACAGAAUAUUCGGUUUGACAGAGAGGAGUUAAGGGAUUCAGUGAUCCUCGUUCAGCCUCCACACGUGAAAGCUUGGGGAGAAAUGAAAUCUUGACCAAAUGUUUGGCUUUGUCUUUGCUUAGAGCUAACAACACAAACCUUUGAUAAAAACUAAAGUCUUCUUGUUACUUGAGAUCUUCUUAAUGGUUUCUUGGUUUCACAGUAGGUAUCCACCUACUGCAAAUUCUUCUGAAUAGCUGGAGAACACUCCAUUUUAAAAAUAUAAGAAGUAAUUAUUGAUGAUUGUUUUUAAAAUGCAGCUAUACUUCCAAGUCUUAGUUAAAUUACUGUAUUUUAAGGGAUCCUGGAUGUUUUCUUUAAGCAUGUUAAAUAAAAUCUGAAAACUGAAGGAGUAUAGCCGUGAAAUCUCUCCUCUCUCUCUCUUUCUCUUUCUUUCAUCAACACACAACCCCCCCCCCACACACACACACACACGCAGAGGUAGGAAAGAGAAUGGCAUCAUUUCCAUUUUACAAAUAAGAAAGUUGGACUCAAGGCGAUUGAAUAGUUCAAAGCUGCAGAGUUAACAAAUGGUGAAGCCUAGAU
Canis lupus familiaris (dog) is the source of this 1558-nucleotide long non-coding RNA. RefSeq lists it as uncharacterized. NCBI's taxonomy places the organism in Eukaryota, Metazoa, Chordata, Mammalia, Carnivora, Canidae. The transcript has 3 exons. The record is from RefSeq and is a predicted model, not a curated record.